This is a long non-coding RNA of Bos taurus (domestic cattle), 1527 nucleotides long. Lineage: Eukaryota; Metazoa; Chordata; Mammalia; Artiodactyla; Bovidae. The record is from Ensembl.
GCCGGGGUGAAGGCAUGGGUGCCCUGCAUCUGUGCAUGCGUCUCAUGGGUGAGAGUUCACUCUCAAGACGGGUGUGCUGCACACCAUUUACGUUUUAUCUAAAAGUAUGAAGUAUCUAGAAAUACAGCCAGUUCAGGCUGCUGACUCAGUGUGGAUCACCGGCCAACUCCAGGCAGGAUUUCUGGUGGUCACGCGCUCUGUGUCUUCCGACCUGGGCAGACCGUGGCCUCCUGGACCAGGCCCCACGGGGGAGCCAUGGGUGGCCAACGGGCAAGGCGGAGGCCCAGGGCUCCAGGGUGCACGGGAGGUCCCCGCAGGCACUCACGCUCUGCGGGAGCCUGAGGAAGCGCGGGGUCCACGAAGACAAUCGAUAAUCUGUAACAGGAAGAGAAGAGAGUUUUACUGAACCCAAACGGAAGACUAUCGUCCAGGAAAGAGCUUCCAGAUCACUCGGAGGAAGUGCUCCAGAGCGGUUCUAUAACUCGUCGGGACAGAGAACGUCGAACAAGUCAGGGAUGUGUCCCUUCAUACCCACCCGGCUCCUCUGUCCACGGGAUUCUCCAGGCAAGGAUGCUGCAGCGGGCUGCCGUGCCCUCCCCCAGGGGUUCUUCCCGACCCGGAGAUCCAACUCUCAUCUCUGCUUCUCAUGCGUUGGCAGUUCAGUUGUUCAGUCGUGUCUGACUCUUGGCAAACUCAUGGACUGCAGCACACCAGGCCUCCCUGUCUGUCACCAACUCCCGGAGCUUGCUCAAACUCGUGUCCAUCGAGUCGGUGAUACCCUCCAGCCAUCUCACCCUCUGUUUUUAUUUAUUCAUUUACUUUUGGUUGUGCUGAGCGUUCGUUGCUGCCCAGGCUGCUCUCUAGUUGCCGUGCUCGGGCUUCCGAGUGCGGCGCCUUCUCUUGCCGGGGCCCACGGGCUGUAGAGCACACGGGCUUGGCAGCGGUGGCUCCGGGCCUGAGAGCACAGGCUCAGUAGGCGUGGGGCACGGGCUUAGUUGCCCCGAGGCACGUGGGAUCUCCAGGACACAGGGAUCAAACCCGCGUCUCCUGUGUCGGCAGGUGAAUUCUUUACCGCUGAGCCGCCAGGGAAGCCACAGACAUUCCCACUGCGCCCUUUCCUUUAAUAAUUAAAGCAUGUAUAAUGUAUGUUUGCUGGGCCACAAACAGGCUAUUCCAGUUGGCCUCAAGUUCCAGUUGACUCGGGGGGAUAUAUGUGUGUGUAUAGCUGAUUCACUGUGCUGUGCAGUAGAAGUUAGCAUUGUGAAGCAACUACACUCCAAUAAAAAUCAAUUUUAAGACAAGUUAACUCACGUAAAAGCAGAAUGACUUCCCAGCUCCUCAGUCCGUGAGCGUUUCUUUUAUCACCGGCUUCAGUCCCAAAGGCUCCCUGCUCCUUGGAGGGGGGGCGCCUGGCAGAAGGGAAAGACAGACACCCCACCAGCAGGCUGGAGUCUGGGGGCGUGUCCGCCUCCUGGGUGAGGUCAGGCCCUGAGGACCUUCCUGCUGGGUUAGCCUCACCCCUUUCCC